GAUGAACGCUGGCGGCGUGCCUAAUACAUGCAAGUCGAGCGAACAGACGAGGAGCUUGCUCCUCUGACGUUAGCGGCGGACGGGUGAGUAACACGUGGAUAACCUACCUAUAAGACUGGGAUAACUUCGGGAAACCGGAGCUAAUACCGGAUAAUAUAUUGAACCGCAUGGUUCAAUAGUGAAAGACGGUUUUGCUGUCACUUAUAGAUGGAUCCGCGCCGCAUUAGCUAGUUGGUAAGGUAACGGCUUACCAAGGCAACGAUGCGUAGCCGACCUGAGAGGGUGAUCGGCCACACUGGAGCUGAGACACGGUCCAGACUCCUACGGGAGGCAGCAGUAGGGAAUCUUCCGCAAUAGGCGAAAGCUUGACGGAGCGACGCCGCGUGAGUGAUGACGGUCUUCGGAUCGUAAAACUCUGUUAUUAGGGAAGAACAAAUGUGUAAGUAACUAUGCACGUCUUGACGGUACCUAAUCAGAAAGCCACGGCUAACUACGUG
RNAcentral lists this ribosomal RNA (497 nucleotides) under uncultured bacterium. Its description in RNAcentral is "partial 16S ribosomal RNA". It matches the Rfam family "Bacterial small subunit ribosomal RNA", at positions 28 to 507 of the family's 1533-position model. The record is from RNAcentral.